Molecule: microRNA, 19 nt
Filed under: Tribolium castaneum (red flour beetle)
Lineage: Eukaryota; Metazoa; Arthropoda; Insecta; Coleoptera; Tenebrionidae
Description: tca-miR-3895-3p
Source: miRBase by way of RNAcentral
CGGAACCGGAAUCGCCUUG